This 136-nucleotide microRNA precursor is filed under the name Setaria italica (foxtail millet). Its description in RNAcentral is "MIR2118 microRNA precursor family". It matches the Rfam family "MIR2118 microRNA precursor family". The record is from Rfam by way of RNAcentral. Lineage: Eukaryota; Viridiplantae; Streptophyta; Magnoliopsida; Poales; Poaceae.
GCCGGGAAGAGGAAGAAAGAGACUGUCUAAGAGCAGUGGGAAUGGGAACAUGGAGGAAAGCAUGAUUGUGUUCUAUGUUUUCCUGGUGCCUCCCAUUCCUAUCGUUCUUAGGUGCUCCUUCCUCUUCCUUUGGCUU